RNAcentral lists this ribosomal RNA (254 nucleotides) under uncultured bacterium. RNAcentral's name for it is "partial 16S ribosomal RNA". It matches the Rfam family "Bacterial small subunit ribosomal RNA", at positions 524 to 776 of the family's 1533-position model. The record is from RNAcentral.
UACGAAGGGUGCAAGCGUUACUCGGAAUUACUGGGCGUAAAGGGUGCGUAGGCGGGUCUUUAAGUCAGGGGGGAAAUCCUGGAGCUCAACUCCAGAACUGCCUUUGAUACUGAAGAUCUUGAGUUCGGGAGAGGUGAGUGGAACUGCGAGUGUAGAGGUGAAAUUCGUAGAUAUUCGCAAGAACACCGGUGGCGAAGGCGGCAUCCUGGACCAACACUGACGCUGAGUGAGCGAAAGCCAGGGGAGCAAACGGG